RNAcentral lists this non-coding RNA (27 nucleotides) under Homo sapiens (human). The record is from RNAcentral. Lineage: Eukaryota; Metazoa; Chordata; Mammalia; Primates; Hominidae.
UGAAACUGCUGUUCAGUGAUGUGAGCC